This 509-nucleotide ribosomal RNA is filed under the name uncultured bacterium. Its description in RNAcentral is "partial 16S ribosomal RNA". It matches the Rfam family "Bacterial small subunit ribosomal RNA", at positions 28 to 523 of the family's 1533-position model. The record is from RNAcentral.
GACGAACGCUGGCGGCGUGCUUAACACAUGCAAGUGGUGCGACGAACCAGGCUUCGGCCUGGGGCGAAGCCGCGAACGGGUGAGUAACACGUGGGCAAUCUGCCCCUUUGAUCGGGACAACCCGGGGAAACCCGGGCUAAUACCGAAUGAGGUGGCGACUCAUGAGAGUCGUCACGAAAGGAAGCUUCGGCCUCCGCGAAGGGAUGAGCCCGCGGCCCAUUAGCUUGUUGGUGGGGUAAUGGCCUACCAAGGCAACGAUGGGUAGCUGGUCUGAGAGGAUGAUCAACCAAACUGGGACUGAGACACGGCCCAGACUCCUACGGGAGGCUGCAGUGGGGAAUCUUGCGCAAUGGGCGACAGCUUGACGCAGCAACGCCGCGUGAGGGAAGAAGGCUUUCGGGUCGUAAACCUCUUUCAGUUAGGACGAAGCUUUAUUGGUUAAUAACCAAUUGGAGUGACGGUACUUUCGGAAGAAGCCCCGGCUAACUACGUGCCAGCCGCCGCCGUAA